UACGGAGGGUGCAAGCGUUAUCCGGAUUCACUGGGGUUAAAGGGUGCGUAGGCGGUUAUUUAAGUCAGUGGUGAAAGCUCGCAGCUCAACUGUGAAACUGCCAUUGAAACUGAGUAACUUGAGUACGAUUGAUGUGGGCGGAAUGUAUCAUGUAGCGGUGAAAUGCUUAGAUAUGAUAUAGAACACCGAUUGCGAAGGCAGCUCACAAAAUCGCAACUGACGCUGAGGCACGAAAGCGUGGGGAGCAAACAGG
This 253-nucleotide ribosomal RNA is filed under the name uncultured bacterium. RNAcentral's name for it is "partial 16S ribosomal RNA". It matches the Rfam family "Bacterial small subunit ribosomal RNA", at positions 524 to 776 of the family's 1533-position model. The record is from RNAcentral.